UACAGAGGUCUCAAGCGUUGUUCGGAAUUACUGGGCGUAAAGGGCUCGUAGGCGGCCAACUAAGUCGGACGUGAAAUCCCUCAGCUUAACUGGGGAACUGCGUCCGAUACUGGAUGGCUUGGAUUUGGGAGAGGGAUGCGGAAUUCCAGGUGUAGCGGUGAAAUGCGCAGAUAUCAGGAGGAACACCAAUGGCGAAGGCAGCACUCUGGGACGUGACUGACGCUGAGACGCGAAAGCGUGGGGAGCAAACAGG
Molecule: ribosomal RNA, 253 nt
Filed under: uncultured bacterium
Lineage: Bacteria
Description: partial 16S ribosomal RNA
Rfam family: Bacterial small subunit ribosomal RNA
Source: RNAcentral